RNAcentral lists this ribosomal RNA (748 nucleotides) under Ostreopsis siamensis. Its description in RNAcentral is "partial large subunit ribosomal RNA". The record is from RNAcentral. Lineage: Eukaryota; Dinophyceae; Peridiniales; Ostreopsidaceae.
AUAUGUUUUUUUUUGAAACAGAGCAGCAUGGAAUGUGAGAGUCAUGCUUGUUUGCAAAACAUUGUGUACAGUGUGUGUCUUGAAAAUCACAUUCCUUGCCAAUGGAAUGCUAACAAACAUGGUAGUGUUCAUGAAGAAGCACAUGCUUUUGAGAUUCAUGAUGUGCAAGUACCAUGAGGGAAAUGUGAAAAGGACUUUGAAAAGAGAUUUAAAUAGAGCCCACAAUUGCUAACCAUUUUGUGCAAGUGAAACUCAAUAUGACAAUGUUGAAUUUUUGAUUAGGAUUCCAUUUGUGAAUGAUGACACUGUUACCAACCAAUAUGGCUGCAGCCUUGUAUAAAACUUCAAUGUAUGUUCAUUGUUUUUGUGUUGGACAUGCUGGCAUGUUUGCAAUUCUGUGGCAAUAUAUAAGUCUUGUCUGUGUGUGUCCUCAAAAUUAACACUGCUCCCAUGCACUUGUUGUGUUUGAAAUGGUUUCAACAGCAUGUGCUUUUUGUUGUUGAAUGUUUUCACUUGACCCGUCUUGAAACACGGACCAAGGAGUCUGGUAAGUGUGCUAGCAUAGUGAUGAKUAUUGACAUGCAAUUAACAUAAUGGUAUUGAAAUGACCAAUGCUUAUCAAACUCUGUUGUCAUGUGUUUGAAUGUGAGCACCAUUGCUAGGACCCGAAAGAUGGUGAACUAUGCUUGCACAAAACAAAUUCAGAGGAAACUCUGAUGGAAGUUUGUAUCGGURCUGACGUGCAAAU